GACGAACGCUGGCGGCGUGCCUAAUACAUGCAAGUAGAACGCUGAAGAGAGGAGCUUGCUCUUCUUGGAUGAGUUGCGAACGGGUGAGUAACGCGUAGGUAACCUGCCUGGUAGCGGGGGAUAACUAUUGGAAACGAUAGCUAAUACCGCAUAAAAUGGAUUAUCGCAUGAUAAUCGAUUGAAAGGUGCAAAUGCAUCACUACCAGAUGGACCCGCGUUGUAUUAGCUAGUUGGUGGGGUAACGGCUCACCAAGGCAACGAUACAUAGCCGACCUGAGAGGGUGAUCGGCCACACUGGGACUGAGACACGGCCCAGACUCCUACGGGAGGCAGCAGUAGGGAAUCUUCGGCAAUGGGGGGAACCCUGACCGAGCAACGCCGCGUGAGUGAAGAAGGUUUUCGGAUCGUAAAGCUCUGUUGUAAGAGAAGAACGAGUGUGAGAGUGGAAAGUUCACACUGUGCCGGUAUCUACCAGAAAGGC
This 481-nucleotide ribosomal RNA is filed under the name Streptococcus sp. oral taxon 071. RNAcentral's name for it is "bacterial SSU rRNA". It matches the Rfam family "Bacterial small subunit ribosomal RNA", at positions 28 to 492 of the family's 1533-position model. The record is from RNAcentral. Lineage: Bacteria; Bacillati; Bacillota; Bacilli; Lactobacillales; Streptococcaceae.